Molecule: ribosomal RNA, 306 nt
Filed under: Triticum aestivum (bread wheat)
Lineage: Eukaryota; Viridiplantae; Streptophyta; Magnoliopsida; Poales; Poaceae
Description: partial small subunit ribosomal RNA
Source: RNAcentral
CUCAGAGAACAGUAUUUAGCCUUAUAUAACAUUGCUCGCGAUAAGAAUAAUACUAUUGCGUACGUGCUCAGUUCAUCCCCGCCGAAUAUUUCGUUCGGGCGGGAUUUGACUGGCCGUGGACUUGUGUCAUGGCAUAAUCUUUUAUCCCGGCUGGAUUGGAUUAACUUGACACAAGGCCGGGAUGUGUUUCGCUGGAACCUUACUAUGUCAGGGUCGUUCACAGUAGCUCUAUGUACCAUGUGCUCACACAUUCUGAGGUACCAAUCAGUAAUAAUAAGAAAAUUUGGAAUUCCAAGAUUCCACUAA